UACGUAGGGUGCAAGCGUUGUCCGGAAUCAUUGGGCGUAAAGAGCGUGUAGGCGGCUCGUUAAGUCCGCUGUGAAAGUCCAGGGCUCAACCCUGGGAUGCCGGUGGAUACUGUCGGGCUCGAGUCCGGAAGAGGAGUGUGGAAUUCCUGGUGUAGCGGUGAAAUGCGCAGAUAUCAGGAGGAACACCAAUGGCGAAGGCAGCGCUCUGGGACGUGACUGACGCUGAGACGCGAAAGCGUGGGGAGCAAACAGG
This 253-nucleotide ribosomal RNA is filed under the name uncultured bacterium. RNAcentral describes it as "partial 16S ribosomal RNA". It matches the Rfam family "Bacterial small subunit ribosomal RNA", at positions 524 to 776 of the family's 1533-position model. The record is from RNAcentral.